RNAcentral lists this ribosomal RNA (467 nucleotides) under uncultured bacterium. RNAcentral's name for it is "SSU rRNA". It matches the Rfam family "Bacterial small subunit ribosomal RNA", at positions 26 to 518 of the family's 1533-position model. The record is from RNAcentral.
AGGACUAACGCUGGCGGCGUGCCUAACACAUGCAAGUCGAACGAGAGUAGCAAUACUCUAGUGGCAGACGGGUGAGUAACACGUGGUCAACCUACCUUUAAGUGGGGGAUAACUAGCCGAAAGGUUAGCUAAUACCGCAUACGAUCUUCGCGUGGCAUCACAUGAAGAUGAAAGGAGCAAUCCGCUGAAAGACGGGACCGCGUCCCAUUAGCCAGUUGGUGGGGUAACGGCCUACCAAAGCAACGAUGGGUAGCUGGCUUGAGAGAGCGACCAGCCACACUGGGACUGAGACACGGCCCAGACUCCUACGGGAGGCAGCAGUGAGGAAUUUUCCGCAAUGGGCGAAAGCCUGACGGAGCGACGCCGCGUGUGGGAUGAAGGCCUUCGGGUCGUAAACCACUGUCGAAGGGGAAGAUAUUGACGGUACCCUUGGAGGAACGCCCGGCUAACUACGCGCCAGCAGCCGC